ACACGUAGGGGGCGAGCGUUAUCCGGAAUGAUUGGGCGUAAAGGGCGCGUAGGCGGCCCGGUAAGUCUGGAGUGAAAGUCCUGUUUUUAAGAUGGGAAUUGCUUUGGAUACUGUCGGGCUUGCGUGCAGGAGAGGUAAGUGGAAUUCCCAGUGUAGCGGUGAAAUGCGUAGAGAUUGGGAGGAACACCAGUGGCAAAGGCGACUUACUGGACUGUAACUGACGCUGAGGCGCGAAAGUGUGGGGAGCAAACAGGAUUAGAUACCCUGGUAGUCCACACUGUAAACGAUGAAUGCUAGGUGUAGGGGGUAUCGACCCCUUCUGUGCCGCAGUCAACACAAUAAGCAUUCCGCCUGGGGAGUACGGCCGCAAGGUUGAAACUCAAAUGAAUUGACGGGG
RNAcentral lists this ribosomal RNA (397 nucleotides) under uncultured bacterium. Its description in RNAcentral is "partial 16S ribosomal RNA". It matches the Rfam family "Bacterial small subunit ribosomal RNA", at positions 523 to 918 of the family's 1533-position model. The record is from RNAcentral.